This 427-nucleotide ribosomal RNA is filed under the name uncultured bacterium. RNAcentral's name for it is "partial 16S ribosomal RNA". It matches the Rfam family "Bacterial small subunit ribosomal RNA", at positions 355 to 774 of the family's 1533-position model. The record is from RNAcentral.
UGGGGAAUAUUGGACAAUGGGCGAAAGCCUGAUCCAGCCAUGCCGCGUGUGUGAAGAAGGUCUUCGGAUUGUAAAGCACUUUAAGUUGGGAGGAAGGGCAUUAACCUAAUACGUUAGUGUUUUGACGUUACCGACAGAAUAAGCACCGGCUAACUCUGUGCCAGCAGCCGCGGUAAUACAGAGGGUGCAAGCGUUAAUCGGAAUUACUGGGCGUAAAGCGCGCGUAGGUGGUUUGUUAAGUUGGAUGUGAAAUCCCCGGGCUCAACCUGGGAACUGCAUUAAAAACUGACUGACUAGAGUAUGGGAGAGGGUGGUGAAAUUUCCUGUGUAGCGGUGAAAUGCGUAGAUAUAGGAAGAAACACCAGUGGCGAAGGCGACCACCUGGACUAAUACUGACACUGAGGUGCGAAAGCGUGGGGAGCAAACA